ACACAAGUCAUUACCAUACUUACAAAUGAUGCUGGAAACCCAUAACUUAUAAGUGCCUCUUGAAUGAAGUCCCAACUCACCAUAUCAUAUGACUUUCGAAGAUCUAUUUUCAUAAGGAAUCUUGGAGAUAUUUUCCUAUUAUAGUGUCUUAGGAGGUCAUAAAAAUUAAGAACACUAUGGAUCAGAGAUCUCCCCUCUACAAAUGUUGCCUAGUUUUCAGCACAAGGUAAGACACGACUUCCCCCAAUCUAAUAUAUGUCAUCUUUGAUAGGCAUUUAUAUAUCACAUUACAACAUGAGAUAGGACUAAAUUGGCUAGUGUUUCGAGGAACAAUUACCUUAGGAAUCAAACAGAUCAUUAUUGCAUUUAACUGCUUCAAAACUUUGCCCGUAUGAAAUACUUCCAGCACUACUCGUGCAAUCUCCUUGCCAAUCACUUCCCAAGUAGCUUGGAAAAAAUUACUUCUAUACUCGUUCAGCCACGGGCUCUUGUUCUUAUCAAUACUAAGCAUGUCUUGCUUCACAUCCUUUUCAGAAUAAGGUCUAAUCUAUUCUAACUGCUCAUCUAUACUAAACCUUGUACCAUUCUCCAAGAAACUAUCAAAUGCUUUGGUUCUUUGAUAUUACUUCCUACCCAGCAGAUCGGUAUAAUAGUCAACCAUUAUUCCUGCAAUUACUUUUUGUUUAUGCUGCAUCACCCCAUGUUUAUCCUCAAAUUGAGUAAUGGAUUAUUGUAAUAUUUUGUGCUUAAUAAUUGAGAAAAAUACUUCGUGCAAUCACCCCACAAUCAAAAGAGCCCCUAACCUUUGCCCCAAAUCUCAACUACACACUUAUACUUUGCAGGGUCCUAUGACCCCCCGAACAUUUUAAAAAUGGAUUUAUUACCCCCUCGAAAACUCACAUCCAUAUAUGUAAUGGAAAGUGAGCAACACGCACCUGUCAUAUCAUGCCACGUAAUUUCCACGUAAUUUUAUAUUUUUAUAUAAAAAAAUUAAUUAUUAUUCUUUAAUAUAUAUAUAUAUAUUCUCUUUCUCUAUUUUUCAUUUUUUAGAAACUAAAAAGAAGUAUUAUUCAUUGUUAUUUCUUUGCGCUUAAAUUUCUGUAUUUUGAAACAGUGCCAUAUAAACAUUGAAAGAAGUUUUAUUUCUUGUGCUUAAAUUUCUGUAUUUUGGAACAGUGCCAUAUAAAACAUUGAGACCCACAUGCAGAUUAUUCAUCUUUCAUAUUUCUUGUUUAUUUUCCAUUCAAUUUUUGAAUUCAAUAAGAGAUUUUUGGAUUUUGUUUUCAUGGAUUGUGUUAAAUCUCUGAAGUACUUGAAUUUGAGUGCUGAUUUGGGAUUUGGAUUUUAGGUGUUUGGGUGGUUUGAACAAUUGUAUAAUGUUUUGGGGUUGUUGUUUGAUUUGGGAUUGAGGGUUUUGUAAUUUAGUUGGUAUUGUAAGGGUGGAACCGUUUUCUUUGUGAUUUUCGUGGGAAAUCAAGUGAAUUGAAAAAUGGGUGUUGUUCUAAAAAUGAUUUUGAUGAGAAAUGUUGUGAAAAGAUGAAGUCAUGUAAGACUAGGUUAUUGAUGAAUUUGAACUUAGAACAGAAAAAAAUUGAUGGUUUAUUGGAAUUGGAUGAUGAGAAGGAAGAGUUUGAAGAAAGUGUAAUGAUGAAGACAAAGUGUUUGAUGUUUGGUCACUGAGAAAAAUAGUAAAGAUGAAAAGGCGGUGAGCAAAUGCUGCUUGUUUGGAACUUGAAAAGAAGAGAAUGGCAGCAGCUACAGCAGUUGAGGAAACAAUGGGGAUGAUAUUGCGGUUACAGAAUGAAAUUGGUAGAAGUAUUGAAAAUGUGAUUUAGAGAUUAGCCAUGAUAGCCAUUGAAGAGUUGUUGAAGCUUUUAAUGAGAGAGUAUUUUGAGAUGGUGAUGAAGAAGAAAGAAAAUAAAAUAAAAUAAAAAUAAUAUAUCUAUAUAGAGAGAGUAUUUUGGGAUGGUGUUGAAUAAGAAAGAAAAUAAAAUAAAAUAAAAAUAAUAUAUACAUAUAUAUAUAUAUUAUAUGUACUUUUAUAUUAAAAAGAAAUGUAAAAAAUACUUUUUUUAAGAUUUUCGAACUACUCACUCUCUCAGAGAGACUGAGAUACACUCUCUUUGCCACAUAAGCCUUUAGGGUGUAAUAAUUUCAUUUUUAAAAUGUUCGGGGAUAAUAGGACUCCCGCAAAGUAUAAGUGUGUAGUUGGAAUUUUUGGGUAAAGCUUGAGGGCUUUUGGCCAUUUUCUCCAAAAAGAUUUAUGCUAUGUAUUUAGAACGCCUAAACAUAGUGUAUUUCUCUUUUUCAUCUCGCUGUAAAUUCUUCUCUGUUGGUUGGGACUAUAAGUCAAGUUGAGCUUUCUCAAGUUCUUCUCUAUCUAUAUUAUCCUCCUCUAUGAUCUCUACAAAAUUAUUUGUUCAAUGCUUGAAAUUUUUUUCAACAAUUUCAGCUUCCUUACUAUUUAGAACAUAAGGCAACCUUCUUUUUGUUUCUUCUAGAUAUUCUCCACUAUAGGAAUAAAGUUUUGGUGCUUGAACCAUAUAUUAUAGUAUUUAAAGGUUUGUGUUCUUAACUGAAGUUUUUAGCUCCAAAUGAAUAGGGAUGUGAUCACUCACCCCCUCUGGCAAGAAUAUGAUUGUAUAAUCCGGCAUAAUAUCAAUCCAUCCUUUAUUAAUCAAUGCCUAGUCGAUCUUGGACCAGAUCAUAUUCUCUCCUUGCUUAUCAUUUCGUGUAUAUUUAGUUUCACAAUAUGAAAGUUCCAGUAAGCUGCAGUUCACUACACACUCAUGAAGUCUGCUAUCUCUUCUAUAGUAAUUGGGUUCCCUCCUAUUCUAUCAUUCUGAUGUAGCACUGAAUUGAAAUCACCAGUGAUCAACCAUGAUAUUUGUUUCCCCUAAUUUUCUACAGUUAAGUAACUCCAUUAUGCUCCUCUCUCCUUUUUGCUAUUCUGUCCAUAAAUGAUUGUUAAUUUAAAUCUUAUUUGACCACAAAUGUCCCAUAUACUCACAAGUCAUAGCCUGAUCCACCUAACCAUAUUUAUUUAAAAAUAAUUCAGCCUCUAAGUUUGCUAGAUUCACCCAUUAUAAUGAUUCUCCAAAUUCGUAACGUAGUCCCAACCAGAGAACAUAUUUUGAGCUACUCUUUCUAUUCUACCAGCCUUUAUUUUUGUUUCCACCAUAACAGUUAUUCCUGCAUUUAGCUUAUUGCAAAGGAGCUUCACCUUCUUUUGUUUAUUCGUCCCAUUAAGUAGGGGUGGCAAUGGUGCGGUGUGGUGCGAGUUUUUUCUAAACCCGCGAAUUUUAAAAUCACCCCAUACCGCACCGCACCACCUUUAAACCAGCAUAAACCCGCCCCACACCUAUACCCGUGCAUACUCGCACCACAUCGCCUCACAUUUUUUUAUUUUUUUUAAAAUUUGUCACUCUAUUGAAAACCAUAAUAUUUUCAAUACUAGGAAAUAGUAACAACCAAUUUCUAUUAUAUCACUUUUCACAAAGAAAUUGUUAGAAAAGUAUCACGAGUACAAGUAAUAAUAAAAUAUCAAAUUUUCAUUAAGAUGAAUAAAGAAAUUAAUAAAGUUAUAAAAUUGUUUAUUUGCAGUGUUAUACAUGUAGUUUUAAGUAUCAUAAAAUUUUAAGUGAAGAAUGCAUAUAAUUUUAGGUAGAUUCACGAGAAUAAUACUAACUUUUUAACUUUUUUUUAAAUUUAAACGUGCAACCAACCCGCACCGCAUCAUUUAAAAAACUUACUUAAACCCGCCCCCCCCCUCCCCCGCCCACAAAGUCUAAAACCCACGCCGUCCCCCACCCGCGCCGCCUCAUUGCCAUCCUUACUAUUAAGGCCUCACAUUUCAUAUAACAUAGCUAUCCAUUUGGACUAUGGACAGUAGUACCCCCAUCUCUGCUAGGACUUCUCCGUGGUUUCAUUACAUUAAACUUGUCCUUGUUGAGUACUUGGAAACCAUUAUUGACCUUAUGUGACGUCUCUCCAACAUGUUUAGCUCUAGUAGCUUUUUUUGUUAUGACCCAACCAUCUUGAUUCUUCUUUGCACCAUUAGCUUCAUGUCCCUUUCCUGGUCUUUCAUUAAGCACUGAUUUAGCAACUCCCAUAAAACUUAAGCUGAUAUUUUCUAUUGCACCUGUUAUCCCCUUCUGUCUCGGCUCUGGUGUAUUCUUACCAGCAGGAUUUGCACUGCCUUGUCCCCUCUCUGUCUCAAUUACUUCAUCGUUGGUUUUUAUCAAAGCCUUUUUUCCUACAGCUUUUCCAUGCCCAUGCUUCUGACAGAAUUUGCAUAAAAUUGGUCUCCAUUCAUAUUGCAUUGUUUGCUCUACCAGAUUACACUUUUCAUUCAUAAAACAUACCCUUUCAGGUAGCUCAGCAUCCAUUACAAACUUAGCAAGUCGUCGAGCAAAUUUAACACCAGUAUUCCUUUUAGUAUUGUAAUCUGCCAUUAGUGGUUUCCCACCAGACUACCAAUUUUGCUCAAUCCCUUACACUCCAGUACUUAAAAACUAACCCAGGAAAUUUCACAAUCGAUAAAAAUAAAAUGUAGUACUCUUAAAUUGUUAUAAAUGAUAUUAAUAUCUAUCAUUUUGUAGUGGAUGUGUAUCAAAAUAUAGUGUGUAUCUAUCACAUAUAGUAAAUAUCUAUCAAGAUAUGAAAUGUCUUUCUUUUGGAGAAAAGUUGGGAGUUUUUUCCCUAUAAGUGGAGUGACUCUCUUUAUUGUAAUUCAUCCUCAUUCCUCAAGAGAAAUAAAGAUAAUUCAUCUCUUCUCUCCAUUCUAUUUGUUCUUACUUUAUAUUUCAUAAUACGUUAUUAGUACGAAUCUCUACUAAUUGAGAUAUCUACUUUAAUCGGUUCGACGAUAAGCAUGAAUUUUAGAUAUUGUAUGUUUUACUAAGAAUUUUGAAUUUAUACUUAGUUUCUCACCGUUGCUCACCGUACGUGUUUUCCUCAAAUCAGUAUCGUGGAUAGUAUUGUUUAAAUAUAUUACAUGUCGGAGAACAAUAUAUAAGCUAUAUCUAUUCUCUUUGGUGGAGAUUUAAUUCUGGAAAUUAUUAAAGAAACUAAAGUGAUGUUAUUUUAUGGAUACCUCUAAUCCAAUUACAAACCUAUUAAGAUUAUUAUUGCAGAGGUAUGUUCACACUUAUUUAUGAGAUUCUACCUUUAAUAAGUUAUAUGACGUGGUAAAGAAACCUGCAAGUGUUGACUUUCUUUAACAAAUAUAGUAUGUUCUUUUGGGUGCUCAUUUCUAAUUCUCCAAGUUUAUGUAUAAUACUAAUCAUUCUUUUUCAUCUUUGAGUUUCUGAGUAGCAGGUAAAGUUAGACAAACAAACGAAAAAUGAUUAGUAGCCUAAAACAAAGCAAUGAUAUUGCUUUCUGUAAUGGAUUUUUGGGCACAUUGUUAUCAUUGUCAAUAUUUUUUUAAAGUCUAGUUAUAAAUAAAUUUAUUUGUGACCAUAAUUGUUUGAAGUUAUUACAUUAUACGGUGCUUCAUACCUAAAAAUAACAAUUAUUUUAAAAUUUAGUAUACUCUGAAAUAUAGUUAGAGAAAAAAUUCUACACCAUAUGUAUGUCUCAAUUUUCUCCUAAAGUAGCAAUAUCUUGAAAGAAGUUCGAAGCUAUCAUAAUUUGAUAGGUUGGUACGAUUAUAUUUCAUUUCUGGAGAAUGAGAACUUUAUUUUUUAUAAGUACAUAUCCAUAUACUGGGGUGAAUGUGAUAGGAGUAACACCUACAAAGAGGUAGAAUAAUUGAGAAGAAAUAUUCUAAAAUUUACUCUCGAAGUAGUAAAUCUGAAAAUCUAUUCAUGUAAUAGUAAAUCUGAAAUUUACUAAAGCAAGAUUCAUAUGUCAUGGUAAACUUGGAGUUUAUUAGUGCAAAUAAAUUCAUAAGUUGGCAUGAAUGAUUAUGACAUUCUGAAGAUGUGCAUAUUGAGUAUUGGACAUGUAAUAAAGAAUUAGAAGAGUCAUCAAUAAUUGUAUUUAUGUUGUUUGUUCUUAUAAUAGGUUGGUUGGACCAGCUAAUAUUUGGAUAAGAUCCCCUAAAAUUUGAAAAAGUAUUAAAGGUGAAUAUGGACGCCUUCACCUGUUAUGUGAUAUGCUAAAUAGAGGCAUCUAUAAGAUUCAUAUGCGCGUUUAUUGUCAACUUGUAGC
This 6156-nucleotide long non-coding RNA is filed under the name Capsicum annuum. RNAcentral describes it as "long non-coding RNA (CANN_LNC012693)". The record is from RNAcentral. Lineage: Eukaryota; Viridiplantae; Streptophyta; Magnoliopsida; Solanales; Solanaceae.